This 595-nucleotide long non-coding RNA is filed under the name Anolis carolinensis (green anole). RNAcentral's name for it is "lncRNA (ENSACAG00000041372.1)". Lineage: Eukaryota; Metazoa; Chordata; Lepidosauria; Squamata; Anolidae. The record is from RNAcentral.
GUGCGCCGGCCUCGGAGAGCGGGCGUCCCCUAGCUAUGCCUCCCAGAGGGAGGCUUCCGAACUACAGUUCCCGUCGUCCUACGCGGGCGCCGGGUUGGCUCCGGCUCUUUUCCGAGAGAGGCUGGUUCCUAUUUUAAAUCCAGGCAGCGAUCAAAAUGGCGGCGUCGAGCUGAGCGCGAGAGGCGGAGGAGAGAGGCUCUCGGCGGUGUGUUUCCUCCAUCUCUCCCGAAUGUGACACCAAGUGCCUGCUGAUCCUGAUGACCAUUGAAAAACCGUCCAAACUUGCCUGUAUUUUAAGGACGUGUAAGUUACUGAAAUAAUUUUUAAAAGUAGAUUAUAAAGAUGAUGUGUUUUUGUAGAUUGUAAAAUUUCCAACAUAUGCAUAACAUUGGUGGGUGUUUUAGUCAAAAUCAAGGAAGGUAAAGGUUACUUUCAGUAGAAGAUGUAGCUGUGUUUUAACUGAAUUCAAUGUGGGGUGUGCUUUUUUGCACACCUUUAAUCUUUUGAUUCAGUUAUUCAUUUUACUGAACAGAGAGAAUUCAGAAGGUUUUUUUAAUCAGCUAGAUCUUUUAUACUGCAAACCUUAGUGUGGGUU